AAAGUCGUAACAAGGUUUCCGUAGGUGAACCUGCGGAAGGAUCAUUAACGAAUCCAAUCUUACCUGCCUUAGCGGUUCAAUUGAUGCUGUCUUCGGGGUUGGCGCUUGCGCCAUUAAAUCACUAGUGGGAAACGGAUCACGGUGUAAUGCCAUGGUUCGGGUGGGCCCCGUUUGAGUUUUACUUCCCACGCGAGUUUUCUAUCAUGCCUAAACGUAUCAAUGACCUUUGACUAUAUGUCAAAGUGAAUGCCUUAAAAGCGAACAACUUUUAACGGUGGAUCUCUUGGCUCGUGCAUCGAUGAAGAACGCAGCAAACUGCGAUAAGUAAUGUGAAUUGCAGAAUUUAGUGAAUCAUCGAAUCUUUGAACGCAAAUGGCGCUCCUGGGUCCUCCCAGGAGCACGUCUGUCUGAGCGUCGUUUCUCACAUCUAACACACAUGUAUGUGUGUGUUGGGCAAUGAGGUGUCCUUUCUAAGAUACAGCUGUGUCAUACAUGGGUGUAUGAAGAUGAUUGGUCCCUUGAAGUUGAGCAAUCCCCGGGUUGGGUGCCCCGUUUAGCGGGUCAACUCCUCGGCGUGAUAGUAACAUAACACGUCUGAGAAGUGGACCAUAAACACGUUACUCGAGUGGUUACUUCAACGUACGGCGGUGAAGGAUGCGACGGAUGCGCCAACACAUGUGCGUAGACCAACCAAGACCUCAGAUCAGGCGAGACUAC
RNAcentral lists this ribosomal RNA (717 nucleotides) under uncultured eukaryote. RNAcentral's name for it is "eukaryotic LSU rRNA". The stretch from base 264 to 417 matches the Rfam family "5.8S ribosomal RNA". The record is from RNAcentral.